CCGAUAUUGGUCCCCCCCGUUCCAGUUGUCCGAAGCAGGAAUUACAUAGGAUGGAUUCGUUUGAGCUGAAUGUCAGAAGGGAAACAAGCAGAUUUGGACAGAAUGGUAAAAAGUAUUAUCUUGGUGGCUUUGAUUUUAAAAUUGUUGGAUAUAGCUAUUGGACAUUUGAGCAAUUAUGCAAGGCUUUUUGUGAUGAGUAUGCUUGGGGUAGUGAUGAUGACGUAGAAAUCCAAUACUAUGACAAGGUUGAGAAUAAGUUUGUCCAAGUUAGUUCCGAUGCAGAGUUAACUCUUAUGUUUGUGAAGAAUAUGGAGGAUAGGUCAAUAAUUUUGCAGAAUGAAGUUGUUAUCAGAACAAGAGCACAAUGUAAUCCUAACCAUCCUAUCACUGCCAA
Molecule: long non-coding RNA, 394 nt
Organism: Panicum virgatum (switchgrass)
Lineage: Eukaryota; Viridiplantae; Streptophyta; Magnoliopsida; Poales; Poaceae
Exons: 2
Source: RefSeq, a predicted model, not a curated record